UACGAAGGGUGCAAGCGUUACUCGGAAUUACUGGGCGUAAAGCGUGCGUAGACGGUAGCGUAAGUCAGAUGUGAAAGCCCCGGGCUCAACCUGGGAAUUGCAUUUGAGACUGCUCUGCUCGGGUGCGGAAGAGGGAAGCGGAAUUUCCGGUGUAGCGGUGAAAUGCGUAGAUAUCGGAAGGAACACCAGUGGCGAAAGCGGCUUCCUGGUCCGACACCGACGUUCAGGCACGAAAGCGUGGGGAGCAAACAGG
RNAcentral lists this ribosomal RNA (253 nucleotides) under uncultured bacterium. RNAcentral describes it as "partial 16S ribosomal RNA". It matches the Rfam family "Bacterial small subunit ribosomal RNA", at positions 524 to 776 of the family's 1533-position model. The record is from RNAcentral.